GAGAAGAGGCCACGAAACCAACAGGAGAAGAUCCAAACACACUCAACUCUUCCAUCAAUUGAACGUGUGUCUUCAGAACUGAAAGAAGCUGUCAAGAUGAAAGGCGUCAAAUAUCUCGCUGGUCUUCUUCUGCUCCUCUUUGUUCAACACAGCAUCUGUGUCCCACUUCAAGAUGACAGCACAAGCACAGAGACAGUGGAAAGUCUUCCGGCGAGGGGUAAGGGAUUCACGAGCGCAAAGAGACAUUCUGAGGGAACUUUC
Long non-coding RNA from Sinocyclocheilus rhinocerous, 261 nucleotides. RefSeq lists it as uncharacterized. The transcript is spliced from 3 exons. Lineage: Eukaryota; Metazoa; Chordata; Actinopteri; Cypriniformes; Cyprinidae. The record is from RefSeq and is a predicted model, not a curated record.